AGCAGCCGCGGUAAUUCCAGCUCCAAUAGCGUAUAUUAAAGUUGCUGCAGUUAAAAAGCUCGUAGUUGAAUUUCGGGACUAAUAUGUCGGUCGUGCCUCGGUACGUACUGGCUUAUUGGUUUCUCCUUUCUGAAGAACCAUGAUGUCAUUUAUUUGGUGUCGUGGGGAAUCAGGACUGUUACUUUAAAAAAUUAGAGUGUUUAAAGCAGGCUCACGCUUGAAUACAUUAGCAUGGAAUAAUGAAAUAGGACGUUUGAUUCUAUUUUGUUGGUUUCUAGGAUCGACGUAAUGAUUAAUAGGGAUAGUUGGGGGCAUUAGUAUUCAAUUGUCAGAGGUGAAAUUCUUGGAUUUAUUGAAGACUAACUACUGCGAAAGCAUUUGCCAAGGAUGUUUUCAUUAAUCAAGAACGAAAGUUAGGGGAUCGAAGACGAUCAGAUACCGUCGUAGUCUUAACCAUAAACUAUGCCGACUAGGGAUCGGAUGAUGUUAAUUUUUAAUGUACUCAUUCGGCGCCUUAAC
This 519-nucleotide ribosomal RNA is filed under the name uncultured Glomus. RNAcentral's name for it is "SSU rRNA". It matches the Rfam family "Eukaryotic small subunit ribosomal RNA", at positions 569 to 1092 of the family's 1831-position model. Lineage: Eukaryota; Fungi; Glomeromycota; Glomeromycetes; Glomerales; Glomeraceae. The record is from RNAcentral.